GAUCAUGGCUCAGGACGAACGCUGGCGGCGCGCCUAACACAUGCAAGUCGAACGAGAGAUGAGGAGCUUGCUCUUCAAAUCGAGUGGCGAACGGGUGAGUAACGCGUGAGGAACCUGCCUCAAAGAGGGGGACAACAGUUGGAAACGACUGCUAAUACCGCAUAAGCCCACAGCUCGGCAUCGAGCAGAGGGAAGAGGAGCGAUCCGCUUUGAGAUGGCCUCGCGUCCG
This 229-nucleotide ribosomal RNA is filed under the name uncultured bacterium. RNAcentral describes it as "partial 16S ribosomal RNA". It matches the Rfam family "Bacterial small subunit ribosomal RNA", at positions 15 to 239 of the family's 1533-position model. The record is from RNAcentral.